This is a non-coding RNA of Sesamum indicum (sesame), 1051 nucleotides long. Lineage: Eukaryota; Viridiplantae; Streptophyta; Magnoliopsida; Lamiales; Pedaliaceae. The record is from RefSeq and is a predicted model, not a curated record.
CUAAAAUUUUAGGACUGAAGGUGGAAUUUUCCAUUUUGAAAAUAGAAAGAAAUCUAAAAUAGAAUUCAAAUUCUUUGCAAUUUCCUGUAAUUUUUCGAAAAUUGUAGACGAUGAUGAAUGAGAAUCAAGCGCAAGGGCGUUAUCCGCCGGGGGUUGGCUACGGCGGCGCUCUAUACGCGGAAUACCAGAACUGUAAACCGCACCUGCAGCCACCGGAACGGGACGGAGCCUACAGAAUGUGCCGCAACGGUGGAUGAGGCCCAGUCCUAUUGCCUCCACCGUUUCUGAUUCUUCUGAUGAAGUUGAAACAAAUGUGCGGUCGAAGCCAUCGGCUACACAAUUUUGGGAUAAGAUCGCUGGAAAGGAACAGAUGACCUGAAACUCGAGAUUUCAUUCACUUGGUGCACGUAAGAUAUGAUAUAAAUUCUGAGUAUUGGCUUCCGCUAACCAAUUAGUUUUUCCGUUUUGGGCAUUUAGCUCUCAAGAUUGGAAGGCACAUUUGAUGAUCCCGCCUCCUGACACCCGGUACAAGACUGAGGACAAUUAGCAGAGCACGGAGGCUGGAUGCAGUAGUGGGAUUAGCUUUCUAAUCCUCCAGAUUUCUCUACCCUUCCAGUAAAUAUACUCUUAUCCUUUCUUUUAUCCGAAGUUAUGAGAACCAGCCUUACCACCAGGUGCUGCCAUCAACUUGCUGCAGUCAAGGCUGGACUUUACAUAUUCGACCAAUGCCAUUCCACAAACGAAAUAGCAUACUUGUAUUGCAAUUUCAAGCCAAAGAUGGAAGAUCAUGGUUCCUUUUCUUUUUGUGUCACUAAAAUGCCUCUAUAUCUCCUACAACUUACUAUUGCUAGGUCUCAGAUUUCACCUCCAUCUUGGAUGUCACAGCGACGAAAGGAAAUGAAUUCGAAGAUUAUUUUCUGAAACGUGAGCUCUUGAUGGGAAUAUAUGAAAAGGGGUUUGAAAGGCCUUCUCCCAUCCAGGAAGAAAGUAUUCCUCUUGCUCUGACUGGAACUGAUAUUCUUGCCCGAGCUAAAAAUGGUACUGGAAAGAC